CGGGGUGAGUAAUGUCUGGGAAACUGCCUGAUGGAGGGGGAUAACUACUGGAAACGGCAGCUAAUACCGCAUAACGUCGCAAGACCAAAGAGGGGGACCUUCGGGCCUCUUGCCAUCGGAUGUGCCCAGAUGGGAUUAGCUAGUAGGUGGGGUAACGGCUCACCUAGGCGACGAUCCCUAGCUGGUCUGAGAGGAUGGCCAGCCACACUGGAACUGAGACACGGUCCAG
This 229-nucleotide ribosomal RNA is filed under the name uncultured bacterium. Its description in RNAcentral is "partial 16S ribosomal RNA". It matches the Rfam family "Bacterial small subunit ribosomal RNA", at positions 104 to 334 of the family's 1533-position model. The record is from RNAcentral.